Molecule: ribosomal RNA, 1491 nt
Filed under: metagenome
Description: bacterial SSU rRNA
Rfam family: Bacterial small subunit ribosomal RNA
Source: RNAcentral
AGAGUUUGAUCCUGGCUCAGAUUGAACGCUGGCGGCAUGCCUUACACAUGCAAGUCGAACGGCAGCACGAGAGCUUGCUCUUGGUGGCGAGUGGCGAACGGGUGAGUAAUAUAUCGGAACGUACCCUAGAGUGGGGGAUAACGCAGCGAAAGUUGCGCUAAUACCGCAUACGAUCUACGGAUGAAAGUGGGGGAUCGCAAGACCUCAUGCUCAUGGAGCGGCCGAUAUCUGAUUAGCUAGUUGGUAGGGUAAAAGCCUACCAAGGCUUCGAUCAGUAGCUGGUCUGAGAGGACGACCAGCCACACUGGAACUGAGACACGGUCCAGACUCCUACGGGAGGCAGCAGUGGGGAAUUUUGGACAAUGGGCGCAAGCCUGAUCCAGCAAUGCCGCGUGAGUGAAGAAGGCCUUCGGGUUGUAAAGCCCUUUUGUCAGGGAAGAAACGGUGGACUCUAAUACAGAUCACUAAUGACGGUACCUGAAGAAUAAGCACCGGCUAACUACGUGCCAGCAGCCGCGGUAAUACGUAGGGUGCAAGCGUCAAUCGGAAUUACUGGGCGUAAAGCGUGCGCAGGCGGUUGUGCAAGACAGAUGUGAAAUCCCCGGGCUCAACCUGGGAAUUGCAUUUGUGACUGCACGGCUAGAGUGUGUCAGAGGGGGGUAGAAUUCCACGUGUAGCAGUGAAAUGCGUAGAGAUGUGGAGGAAUACCGAUGGCGAAGGCAGCCCCCUGGGAUAACACUGACGCUCAUGCACGAAAGCGUGGGGAGCAAACAGGAUUAGAUACCCUGGUAGUCCACGCCCUAAACGAUGUCUACUAGUUGUUGGGUCUUAAUUGACUUAGUAACGCAGCUAACGCGUGAAGUAGACCGCCUGGGGAGUACGGUCGCAAGAUUAAAACUCAAAGGAAUUGACGGGGACCCGCACAAGCGGUGGAUGUUGUGGAUUAAUUCGAUGCAACGCGAAAAACCUUACCUACCCUUGACAUGUACGGAAUCCCUGAGAGAUUAGGGAGUGCUCGAAAGAGAACCGUAACACAGGUGCUGCAUGGCUGUCGUCAGCUCGUGUCGUGAGAUGUUGGGUUAAGUCCCGCAACGAGCGCAACCCUUGUCAUUAGUUGCUACGAAAGGGCACUCUAAUGAGACUGCUGGUGACAAACCGGAGGAAGGUGGGGAUGACGUCAAGUCCUCAUGGCCCUUAUGGGUAGGGCUUCACACGUCAUACAAUGGUACAUACAGAGGGCCGCCAACCCGCGAGGGGGAGCUAAUCCCAGAAAGUGUAUCGUAGUCCGGAUUGUAGUCUGCAACUCGACUACAUGAAGUUGGAAUCGCUAGUAAUCGCGGAUCAGCAUGUCGCGGUGAAUACGUUCCCGGGUCUUGUACACACCGCCCGUCACACCAUGGGAGCGGGUUUCACCAGAAGUAGGUAGCCUAACCGUAAGGAGGGCGCUUACCACGGUGGGAUUCGUGACUGGGGUGAAGUCGUAACAAGGUA